Molecule: ribosomal RNA, 253 nt
Filed under: uncultured bacterium
Lineage: Bacteria
Description: partial 16S ribosomal RNA
Rfam family: Bacterial small subunit ribosomal RNA
Source: RNAcentral
UACGAAGGGGGCUAGCGUUGCUCGGAUUGACUGGGCGUAAAGGGCGCGUAGGCGGAUAGUACAGUCAGGCGUGAAAUUCCUGGGCUCAACCUGGGGGCUGCGUUUGAUACGUGUUGUCUGGAGUUCGGAAGAGGGUCGUGGAAUUCCCAGUGUAGAGGUGAAAUUCGUAGAUAUUGGGAAGAACACCAGUGGCGAAGGCGGCUCACUGGCCCGAUACUGACGCUGAGGCACGAAAGCGUGGGGAGCAAACAGG